GCCGUCGUAGCGCAAUGGUAGCGCGUCGCUUUCCUAAGACUAUUAGGCGAAGGUUGCGAGUUCGAUCCUCGUCGUCGGUA
Molecule: transfer RNA, 80 nt
Filed under: Armillaria novae-zelandiae
Lineage: Eukaryota; Fungi; Basidiomycota; Agaricomycetes; Agaricales; Physalacriaceae
Rfam family: tRNA
About the family: Transfer RNA (tRNA) molecules are approximately 80 nucleotides in length. Their secondary structure includes four short double-helical elements and three loops (D, anti-codon, and T loops). Further hydrogen bonds mediate the characteristic L-shaped molecular structure. tRNAs have two regions of fundamental functional importance: the anti-codon, which is responsible for specific mRNA codon recognition, and the 3' end, to which the tRNAs corresponding amino acid is attached (by aminoacyl-tRNA synthetases). tRNAs cope with the degeneracy of the genetic code in two manners: having more than one tRNA (with a specific anti-codon) for a particular amino acid; and 'wobble' base-pairing, i.e. permitting non-standard base-pairing at the 3rd anti-codon position.
Source: Rfam by way of RNAcentral